GAUCAGCGAAGGAAUCGAUCUUUCUAGAAACGAAUGGAAGCAAACUGACAGCCAUGGCUACUGCUGGGGUCGUCCGCCCCCAACUCCUCUCCGCCGGAGCAGCCUCAACGCCCACCGCCACACCACCUCCACCUCCCCCUCCUCCCCAUCAUCUCCUCUCCUCCUACCCCGUCUCAUGCGACGCUGACAUCGGCAAGUACGCCGCCGGCGCCGUCCAUUGGUCGAGUCCGCAACGCCUCUCCUGCCCACUCCUCAGAUUCAGCAGACCCGCCGCCCAUCACGUCUCCCUCCUCCCCCUAGCCCAUCUUCUCCGAGGACCGCGUCGGCAAGUAUGCCGCUAGCGGCGUCUGCGCCUCGAGUCCGUGAGAACUCUUCUGCUUCCUCAUUUGAGGAUGUGAUGCAAGAGACAUGCCGCCCACCACCUCCCCUUCCUCCUCGCCGACCUCUUUUCAUAUGUGAUGGGCAUUCAAAAUUUGUCAUUCCAGCUUCCCCCGUCUGGAUGUUGUAUCAGUAACAGUUAGAGAAGUCUAACUGAAUUAUACUCAUUGUAGAUAGUUAUUUCCUUUUUCUAAUGCCUAUCAUACUGACUCCUACAUUCUUAGAUGCCUUUUUUUAUCUAUCAUGUCUACAGUUUUAAUGCAUUUUAUAGCUUGUUUCAUUCUAAUUUGUUUGCAGUUUGAAUGCAUUCUUUUGUAGCCAUGGAUGCCUUAUUUUUUCCUACAUAUGUAUAUCACAUGCCUGAAGAAGAAGAUGACAAGUACAUCACCUUGGCUGGGAGAGGUAUUGCCAGUGCCAUGGAUGCCUUAUUUCUUUGAACCGGUAUUUUCGCACUAGCAACUCUAUGUUGCUCUUUCUAGAGCUACAUGCAUAAGUAAUAUGAAAGAUUCUUUCUGUCCUGAAUAAGCAAAAGGAAGGCCAGUCCAACUCUGUUGCAAAUUUUACAAAUAACAUAGUCUACAAAGAAGUUCUCAAUGUGCAGUCCAAGGUAUGAACCACUCAACUACAAUUUGGUGGCUGUAGGAAAUCCGGUCUAUCUAACUAGGGUCAGUAAUGUGAAGUUGCUUUACCUCUACUGUUCUUAAGUAAGUUACAUGCUUCAGCGACCAUGAUAUUCAGGCCGCACUCCACUUUUUCUUUUGCAGAAACGUGGUUGAUGUAAGAAAGUUACAAGAGGUCCAGUACCGAUUUUUUUCUGUAUGUGUGCACUUGCCCCUUCCAUAUACACAUGAUUCAAAAGCAUCCUUUCAUGUACAUUUUGUUUUUUUAGUGACUGCUAAUGGAAUGGCUUGUUUUGUUUUCUAUAGCCGUUCCAAGGAAAGGAACAAUUUUAUUGCAGUAGUUGUUCUAAGGCUGGAUGUGAAAAUAUGUGUUGGCGAUCGCUGGUUGAGUUGGUGUUAUGGGCGAUCUGGCAUGAGCGCGGUCUUUACAUUUUCACAAUCCAGAGGCUAUAACACACUCUGGAAACUAUUUGUCAAUAUUUAACAAUGGCCGAUCACGCUUCCAGUAUUGCAGAUGUUACGCAAUACCGGGUCCGCUGACAGCAGCAUUUUGACCCAUCUGUGUCACCUGGCCCAACCGAAGAGCAACACCAACUUAUGAGAGGCCAUGAGCCCUCCCCUUCAAAAGACUAGCCUCUAAGGAGGGGACACCCCUGCCCUUAUAAGUCGUGUUAUGUCUCCCCACACAACUGAUGUGGGACUAAACCCAACAGGAGAUUGCUAUGCUUCAAGAUAAUGUUAUGUGGUUUGAUUAUUAUUUUGUUCAAUUCUUGCAAAGUGGUUUGAAAUGUCACAACAUUGAUUUAUUUGAGCUGUUAUUUAUCUUAAUCUUUUGCUGGUGGGAGGCAUGUUGCAUCAAACAUGGAGAUAUGACAGAUCCGCGGGAUGGGCUGGUGGCGGAUUAUGAUAUGUGCUAUAACAGAUUGAGCCCAUCGGACUAGAGUCGAAGGAUAAGUUGGUAGUCGCUACACUUCCAUUGCACAAAUUCAUGGGGGACAAACAUCGAUAUUAUCGCAUUUUAUUCUUCCAUUAUGUGUAUUAAUGUUAGGUUAAAGUGGGGUGCUUAAUGUGUUACCAUUUCUGAUAAA
This is a non-coding RNA of Triticum urartu, 2086 nucleotides long. The record is from RefSeq and is a predicted model, not a curated record. Lineage: Eukaryota; Viridiplantae; Streptophyta; Magnoliopsida; Poales; Poaceae.